GCAUGUGGUAACCAUGAUCUUGAUCAGAUCUAAAAUGAAGAUGGAAGAUUCAGACUCCAACUCUCGCUCUGCGCUCGGACCUCUGGAUGUAGUAAGAUCUUAACAAUUAACACAGCAUUUCUGCAGGAAACCUAAGACUAUGAGUCAAAAUUAAGAAGGAAGACAAUCAAACACAUCCCUCUAAUCAUAUACGUAAAAAGUACUACUUUUUUUUUUCCAGAGAACCUUAAAAAUAGCAAAAAAUUAGCACGAAAAUCAGGAACUUCUAUUAUUCAGUCAGAUAUAAGGAAAAGACUCUUUUUUCUUUUUAACAAAAGAACCUUAAAUCAGGCACUUCCAUUAUCAAGUCAGAUACACCAACACCCCCCCCCCCCCCCGGUUUCUAACCUAAAAGAUACCAUAAAGUUCACACUUUCUGAUCUUGGUAAAUCAGGCACUACCAUUGUCAAAUCAGACACAAAAAAAAUAUAAUUUUUUUCCAAAAGAACCUGAAAAUAGCAGAAAAUUCACCUUUUCGAUCUUGGGAAACCCCACAAAUCCUACUUCACACUAUGAAUCAAAAAUAAAUUCUUUUACAUAAAGGGGUCAUAAAAAUAAGUUCUUUUACAUAAAUGGGUCACCAAAAUCAAUUCGUUUCCAUAAAGGGAUCAUCAAACACAAGAGUGUACAUAAACGUGAAUUAAACAAUAGUUUUAAUGGAUUGAGAUAAAGAAAAUGAAGUGGAAUACCUGUGAGAUCGCUCAAUUGAUGUGCAAAAGAGAAAGUUGAGGUGUUUAAUGUGUGUGUACGUUAAAGGCGGGUAGCUCCUUAAAUAGUCG
This 818-nucleotide long non-coding RNA is filed under the name Nicotiana tabacum (common tobacco). Its description in RNAcentral is "long non-coding RNA (NTAB_LNC004538)". Lineage: Eukaryota; Viridiplantae; Streptophyta; Magnoliopsida; Solanales; Solanaceae. The record is from RNAcentral.